This 552-nucleotide ribosomal RNA is filed under the name uncultured archaeon. Its description in RNAcentral is "bacterial SSU rRNA". It matches the Rfam family "Archaeal small subunit ribosomal RNA", at positions 1 to 554 of the family's 1478-position model. The record is from RNAcentral.
UUCCGGUUGAUCCUGCCGGAGGUUACUGCUUUUGAGAUUCGACUAAGCCAUGCGAGUCGAAUGUUCUUCGUGAACAUGGCGGACUGCUCAGUAACACGUGGACAACCUACCCUUGGGUCUGGCAUAAUCCUGGGAGACUGGGUAUAAUUCCAGAUAGGUCACAGAUGCUGGAAUGCACUGUGGCCGAAAGCUCCGGCGCCCAAGGAUGGGUCUGCGGCCUAUCAGGGUUGUAGUGGGUGUAACGGACCUACUAGCCUACGACGGGUACGGGUUGUGAGAGCAAGAGCCCGGAGAUGGAUUCUGAGACACGAAUCCAGGCCCUACGGGGUGCAGCAGGCGCGAAAACUUUACAAUGCGGGAAACCGUGAUAAGGGAAUCUCGAGUGCCAGCAUAUAAUGUUGGCUGUCCAGAUGCCUAAAAAGCAUCUGUUAGCAAGGGCCGGGCAAGACCGGUGCCAGCCGCCGCGGUAACACCGGCGGCCCGAGUGGUAACCACUUUUAUUGGGUCUAAAGGGUCUGUAACCGGACAAGUAAGUCACCUUGGGAAAUCUGG